AUCCAGCUGACGGGUCCCGAAUAGGACGAAAAGGCAUCCUAGAU
This 44-nucleotide non-coding RNA is filed under the name Trichobilharzia regenti. Lineage: Eukaryota; Metazoa; Platyhelminthes; Trematoda; Strigeidida; Schistosomatidae. The record is from RNAcentral.